Molecule: ribosomal RNA, 1247 nt
Filed under: Candidatus Phytoplasma citri
Lineage: Bacteria; Bacillati; Mycoplasmatota; Mollicutes; Acholeplasmatales; Acholeplasmataceae
Description: bacterial SSU rRNA
Rfam family: Bacterial small subunit ribosomal RNA
Source: RNAcentral
GAACGACUGCUAAGACUGGAUAGGAAGAUAAAAGGCAUCUUUUAUCUUUUAAAAGACCUAGUAAUAGGUAUGCUUUAGGAGGGGCUUGCGCCAUAUUAGUUAGUUGGUAGGGUAAUGGCCUACCAAGACGAUGAUGUGUAGCUGGACUGAGAGGUUGAACAGCCACAUUGGGACUGAGACACGGCCCAAACUCCUACGGGAGGCAGCAGUAGGGAAUUUUCGGCAAUGGAGGAAACUCUGACCGAGCAACGCCGCGUGAAUGACGAAGUACUUCGGUAUGUAAAGUUCUUUUAUCAAGGAAGAAAAGCAAAUGGCGAACCAUUUGUUUGCCGGUACUUGAUGAAUAAGCCCCGGCUAAUUAUGUGCCAGCAGCCGCGGUAAGACAUAAGGGGCAAGUGUUAUCCGGAAUUAUUGGGCGUAAAGGGUGCGUAGGCGGUCUAGUAAGUCAGUGGUGUAAUGGCAACGCUUAACGUUGUCCGGCUAUUGAAACUGCUAAACUUGAGUUAGAUAGAGGCGAGUGGAAUUCCAUGUGUAGCGGUAAAGUGCGUAAAUAUAUGGAGGAACACCAGAGGCGUAGGCGGCUCGCUGGGUCUUAACUGACGCUGAGGCACGAAAGCGUGGGGAGCAAACAGGAUUAGAUACCCUGGUAGUCCACGCCGUAAACGAUGAGUACUAAGUGCCGGGUUAAACCGGUACUGAAGUUAACACAUUAAGUACUCCGCCUGAGUAGUACGUACGCAAGUAUGAAACUUAAAGGAAUUGACGUGACUCCGCACAAGCGGUGGAUCAUGUUGUUUAAUUCGAAGAUACCCGAGAAACCUUACCAGGUCUUGACAUGUUUUUGCAAAAUGAUAGUAAUAUCGUGGAGGUUACCAGAAACACAGGUGGUGCAUGGUUGUCGUCAGCUCGUGUUGUGAGAUGUUAGGUUAAGUCCUAAAACGAGCGAAACCCUUAUCGUUAGUUGCCAGCACGUUAUGGUGGGGACUUUAACGAGACUGCCAAUGAUAAAUUGGAGGAAGGUGAGGAUCACGUCAAAUCAGCAUGCCCCUUAUGACCUGGGCUACAAACGUGAUACAAUGGGCUGUUACAAAGGGUAGCUGAAACGCAAGUUCUUGGCCAAUCCCCAAAAACAGUCCCAGUCCGGAUUGAAGUCUGCAACUCGACUUCAUGAAGUUGGAAUCGCUAGUAAUCGCGAAUCAGCAUGUCGCGGUGAAUACGUUCUCGGGGUUUGUACACACCGCCCGUCA